UUAAGUUAUUAAGGGCGCACGGUGGAUGCCUUGGCACUAGAAGCCGAUGAAGGACGUUACUAACGACGAUAUGCUUUGGGGAGCUGUAAGUAAGCUUUGAUCCAGAGAUUUCCGAAUGGGGAAACCCAGCAUGAGUUAUGUCAUGUUAUCGAUAUGUGAAUACAUAGCAUAUCAGAAGGCACACCCGGAGAACUGAAACAUCUUAGUACCCGGAGGAAGAGAAAGAAAAUUCGAUUCCCUUAGUAGCGGCGAGCGAAACGGGAAGAGCCCAAACCAACAAGCUUGCUUGUUGGGGUUGUAGGACACUCUAUACGGAGUUACAAAGGACGACAUUAGACGAAUCAUCUGGAAAGAUGAAUCAAAGAAGGUAAUAAUCCUGUAGUCGAAAAUGUUGUCUCUCUUGAGUGGAUCCUGAGUACGACGGAGCACGUGAAAUUCCGUCGGAAUCUGGGAGGACCAUCUCCUAAGGCUAAAUACUCUCUAGUGACCGAUAGUGAACCAGUACCGUGAGGGAAAGGUGAAAAGCACCCCGGAAGGGGAGUGAAAUAGAACCUGAAACCGUGUGCUUACAAGUAGUCAGAGCCCGUUAAUGGGUGAUGGCGUGCCUUUUGUAGAAUGAACCGGCGAGUUACGAUUUGAUGCAAGGUUAAGCAGUAAAUGUGGAGCCGUAGCGAAAGCGAGUCUGAAUAGGGCGUUUAGUAUUUGGUCGUAGACCCGAAACCAGGUGAUCUACCCUUGGUCAGGUUGAAGUUCAGGUAACACUGAAUGGAGGACCGAACCGACUUACGUUGAAAAGUGAGCGGAUGAACUGAGGGUAGCGGAGAAAUUCCAAUCGAACCUGGAGAUAGCUGGUUCUCUCCGAAAUAGCUUUAGGGCUAGCCUCAAGUGAUGAUUAUUGGAGGUAGAGCACUGUUUGGACGAGGGGCCCCUCUCGGGUUACCGAAUUCAGACAAACUCCGAAUGCCAAUUAAUUUAACUUGGGAGUCAGAACAUGGGUGAUAAGGUCCGUGUUCGAAAGGGAAACAGCCCAGACCACCAGCUAAGGUCCCAAAAUAUAUGUUAAGUGGAAAAGGAUGUGGCGUUGCCCAGACAACUAGGAUGUUGGCUUAGAAGCAGCCAUCAUUUAAAGAGUGCGUAAUAGCUCACUAGUCGAGUGACACUGCGCCGAAAAUGUACCGGGGCUAAACAUAUUACCGAAGCUGUGGAUUGUCCUUUGGACAAUGGUAGGAGAGCGUUCUAAGGGCGUUGAAGCAUGAUCGUAAGGACAUGUGGAGCGCUUAGAAGUGAGAAUGCCGGUGUGAGUAGCGAAAGACGGGUGAGAAUCCCGUCCACCGAUUGACUAAGGUUUCCAGAGGAAGGCUCGUCCGCUCUGGGUUAGUCGGGUCCUAAGCUGAGGCCGACAGGCGUAGGCGAUGGAUAACAGGUUGAUAUUCCUGUACCACCUAUAAUCGUUUUAAUCGAUGGGGGGACGCAGUAGGAUAGGCGAAGCGUGCGAUUGGAUUGCACGUCUAAGCAGUAAGGCUGAGUAUUAGGCAAAUCCGGUACUCGUUAAGGCUGAGCUGUGAUGGGGAGAAGACAUUGAGUCUUCG
This 1589-nucleotide ribosomal RNA is filed under the name Staphylococcus aureus. Its description in RNAcentral is "bacterial LSU rRNA". It matches the Rfam family "Bacterial large subunit ribosomal RNA", at positions 3 to 1587 of the family's 2925-position model. The record is from RNAcentral. Lineage: Bacteria; Bacillati; Bacillota; Bacilli; Caryophanales; Staphylococcaceae.